Molecule: ribosomal RNA, 463 nt
Filed under: uncultured bacterium
Lineage: Bacteria
Description: partial 16S ribosomal RNA
Rfam family: Bacterial small subunit ribosomal RNA
Source: RNAcentral
GACGAACGCUGGCGGCGUGCUUAACACAUGCAAGUCGAACGGAAAGGCCUUUUCGGUGGUACUCGAGUGGCGAACGGGUGGGUAACACGUGGGUGAUCUGCCCUGCACUCUGGGAUAAGCCUGGGAAACUGGGUCUAAUACCGGAUAGGACCGCACUUUAGAGUGUGUGGUGGAAAGUGUUUUCGGUGUAGGAUGAGCCCGCGGCCUAUCGGCUUGUUGGUGGGGUAAUGGCCUACCAAGGCGGCGACGGGUAGCCGGACUGUGGGGUUGGUAGGCCACAUUGGGACUGAGAUACGGCCCAGACUCCUACGGUAGGCAGCAGUGGGGAAUAUUGCACAAUGGGCGCAAGCCUGAUGCAGCGACGCCGCGUGGGGGAUGACUGCCUUCGGGUUGUAAACUCCUUUCGCCAGUGACGAAGCGUUUUGUGACGGUACCUGGAGAAGAAGCACCGGCUAACUACGUG